This 191-nucleotide ribosomal RNA is filed under the name uncultured bacterium. RNAcentral's name for it is "partial 16S ribosomal RNA". It matches the Rfam family "Bacterial small subunit ribosomal RNA", at positions 1308 to 1500 of the family's 1533-position model. The record is from RNAcentral.
CAACUCGCCUGCAUGAAGUCGGAAUUGCUAGUAAUCGCGGAUCAGCAUGCCGCGGUGAAUACGUUCUCGGGCCUUGUACACACCGCCCGUCACACCAUGGGAGUCGGUAACACCCGAAGUCUGUAGCCUGACGCAAGAGGGCGCAGCCGAAGGUGGGAUUGAUGACUGGGGUGAAGUCGUAACAAGGUAGC